This 415-nucleotide ribosomal RNA is filed under the name uncultured crenarchaeote. RNAcentral's name for it is "partial 16S ribosomal RNA". It matches the Rfam family "Archaeal small subunit ribosomal RNA", at positions 330 to 747 of the family's 1478-position model. Lineage: Archaea; Thermoproteati; Thermoproteota. The record is from RNAcentral.
GUGCAGCAGUCGCGAAAACUCCACAAUACGCGAAAGCGUGACGGGGCUACCCCGAGUGUCGUCCGCUGAGGACGACUUUUCCACGCUGUAAGGAGGCGUGGGAAUAAGGAGAGGGCAAGUCUGGUGUCAGCCGCCGCGGUAAUACCAGCUCUCCGAGUGGUAGGGACGAUUAUUGGGCUUAAAGCGUCCGUAGCCGGCUCAGCAAGUCUCCCGUUAAAUCCAACGAUUCAAUCGUUGGACUGCGGGAGAUACUGUUGAGCUAGGAGGCGGGAGAGGCCGACGGUAUUCCCGGAGUAGGGGUAAAAUCCUCUGAUCCUUGGAAGACCACCAGCGGCGAAGGCGGUCCACCAGAACGUGCUCGACGGUGAGGGAUGAAAGCUGGGGGAGCGAACCGGAUUAGAUACCCGGGUAGUCC